GAGAGGUGGAGAUCAGAGAGAGAGAGAGAGGAAUGGACACAGAGAGACAGAGAGAGAGGCUAGUAGCCGGCGUUAUGAUGAGUGUUUACUGCACUGUUCUGAGAACCAAUGAUCUGCUCUUGUGUGAGUCAUGGAGAUUAUUUAGACUGGUGACAGCGUGCAGCACAGAACAUCGGCAGAACUCCCUCACGCUCCUCACACUGACAACAGGAGACGUACAGCAGGCAGAUGCGUGACUGUUUGAUCUGUGAAAAAGCGGCCAGCGGGUCACACAUAUUGGCACAAAGGAGAAGCUGACAAAUGGCUGAGCUGUAGGAGCCAAGAGUUGAUGGACAGUCGGAAGAGCGAAUGAAAUGCUGAGCUCUGACAUCCCCACGCAAACAAGAGGAGAGAAAGAGCAGGCCAGGCCAGGCUCAGUGACCAUCAUCACUCAUCCUGAACACCAGGCAAUAAUCCUCCAUGCAUUUCCAAUCUGAGACAGAAUGAAACAAGGUGACAAAAUGGAC
Molecule: long non-coding RNA, 506 nt
Organism: Oncorhynchus gorbuscha (pink salmon)
Lineage: Eukaryota; Metazoa; Chordata; Actinopteri; Salmoniformes; Salmonidae
Exons: 4
Source: RefSeq, a predicted model, not a curated record